AGGAAUGUGCAUCAAAUUUCCUGGGUCAGGGACUUUUCUGUCAGCAAAGGUUGUGAACUCAGGUUCUCUCCUCCUUUAACAGAUUCUUAUCAUCCAUGGGUGUCAAGGAAGAGAAUAAAAACAGAAUUGAGAUUCAAAGGUUUAAGCACACUGAGGUCUCACUGAAUUCUUCAAUCCAUUUCCCUGGCUGAGGCUGGCAGUACACUCUGUGGAUGUGAUGGAGGGAUUUUAUCAUGGACCUGGCUCUGUGUGCAAAUUACGGAUGCUAACUAGGAAAGGACAAAGAGAGAGAAAAAACUAGUGUAAUAUCUUAAAAAGAAACAUGAAGCACCUCAUCUCUGAUUCUUUUCUUUCUUACUUUAAUUUUCCUAAAAGUGACUUUAUUGAUUCAAUCAUUUUUUUUUUUGUUUUCUUUGCACUUCUGAGAAAGAAUUCAAGGUCACUGUUUCCAGUGUAUACCUUAAGACUCUAACUUUUGCCAUAGAUAUGGGCUGCUAGUUUAUUAUUUAUUUUGGAGGAUAAUCCCUGAUCAUCGUAAACUCAAAAUACAAUAUAGCUCACUUAUGACAAAGUAAGGUUAGUCUGGGGAUUAAGUUUUCCCUAUUACAUAGCUAAAGCUCACAUAUUUGAUUCUGUUCCUUAGCUCUAUCACUUAGAUUGAUAUUUUCACAUCAAGCAGGAAAAACUGCCACUCAGGUUUAAAAUAAAGAAAUAAAGAUAUUACUUCUUCUGGUCUUAUUUCCUUGCAGCUCCCUCCUGGCUUAUGGUCUGUUUUGAUCCUGUCUGCUCCCCAGGGUAGUUUAACCAAAAUUCACUUAGAAAAUUUAGUUUUAGUAUGCUGUCCUAGCCCCUGGGAAGACUGCGUACUCUGCCAUUGACACCAGGUUUGCCUCAAUGUCAAGGGUCAUGCACAUGUCCUAGGCUACUACUGCCCAUGUGGCAACUACUGAAGCCUCCUGGACUCUCUUGUGAGACUCCCUCACCUAUUCCCACAUUAUGCCCUUCAGUGGGAUAUCCACAACUCACACACUUGAGAGGUGGUCCAGCAGCUGGUCUCCUGUGCUGCAAUGUCAAAUGCCAGACAUAGCUGACUACUUUCUGAAGCCCUGAAAAGUGACUAUCCAAAGUGUCAGAGACCCUUACACUACCCCAAAACUGAAUGCUUUGUCAUGGUCAGCAUGUUAUUGUACCCAGUGUUGCACAACUCAACACACAGAUGUUCUCACACUAAGAGAAAGAUAAGAAGGUCUUCCUGAGAAAAUAUCCAUUUUACUGGAACAUUAGGAGCCAAGUUCUGCCAGUUUUACCUCUGGGCAUCAGCUCUUCACUGAAGUGAUUAAAUUAGUGACAUAACAUAAUACAAGUGAAGGCACAGGACUUCAGCUAUACGUGGACAGCCUUCUGUAAAAUUUUCUAUGGCAAAAACGCUGCUGGAAAGGAUCCUAACAGCCUCAAAUACCUGCACACUCCACAGA
Molecule: long non-coding RNA, 1475 nt
Organism: Neopsephotus bourkii (Bourke's parrot)
Lineage: Eukaryota; Metazoa; Chordata; Aves; Psittaciformes; Psittacidae
Exons: 3
Source: RefSeq, a predicted model, not a curated record